CUGUAUAACCCUUCACAGCAAAGUUGGCAGGGAAGCUCUGAAGGUGACUACAUCAGUUUUGAAGUCCUCCAAAGAACUUUUUGAGGGUUGCAACUAAUUCUUCAUCUGGAAAAAUGUGGCUGUGGCCUGUGGUGAUCAUUAUCAUCAUUUCACUUUCAAGGAGAAGCACAGGACAGUCGGUGAAGCAAGCAUCUGGCAUUGUGACUGUUACUGAAGGAAAACAUCUCUCUCUCAGUUGUUCCUAUGAAGUUACUAGCUCAGCUUACCGAGAUACAUACUGGUACAUUCAGCACCCUGAUCAGCCUCUGAAGCUCUUGUUGAGCCAGUAUAAAAAGGAUACCCAAAGAUUCCAUGCUACUCACCUUAAAGGAGAGAAAAAUGGGACGUACAAUUUAGAGAAAGAUGCCAGUCAGCUGAAGGACUCUGCUGUCUACUUCUGUGCCUUCAUCGAGACACAAUGAGAUAAAGCAGAAGGG
This is a non-coding RNA of Crotalus tigris (Tiger rattlesnake), 476 nucleotides long. NCBI's taxonomy places the organism in Eukaryota, Metazoa, Chordata, Lepidosauria, Squamata, Viperidae. The record is from the annotation of a RefSeq genome assembly.